Amphibalanus amphitrite is the source of this 847-nucleotide long non-coding RNA. RefSeq lists it as uncharacterized. The record is from RefSeq and is a predicted model, not a curated record. Lineage: Eukaryota; Metazoa; Arthropoda; Thecostraca; Balanomorpha; Balanidae. The transcript is spliced from 2 exons.
ACUUUUCAAUAUUCAUGCGCCCUCCCACAUCAAGCGGCGGUCGGCUUGGUAAACAACAUCGAUCGUGGCAUCUUGGGAGUGUGGGAUAUUCUAAGAUCAUAGAUAAUUUGCCCUCACUAUGGGUUUCAGUCGAUAUUCUACAUAAAUUUGCAUAGAACUGAGUGCACUGUAUCCGUCUAGAACAGUGCUGUAGCUGCUACUGCCACCUUUCGCCAAUUAAGUAAGCUGAGAUUUGUACACUCGCCGUCCGGUGGUUGCUAGGUAGGACACGAAAGUAAACAACAUUCCAAAGAAGAAUUUCAAGACAAGUGUCCAGCUUGGCUUGCAAGAUCGAACAAGAUCAUCAUUUGGUGGCUGAAAAUGAAGAAUUAAGAUAACCAGGGCCCAGACUAACAAGAAUUUCUAUCCGACUUCGUGGAGGAGUCUUCUGACCACGGCAUUCGGCUGUUCUACAUGAAGGUUGAAGAAUCCCGCUGGGUUCAGCCGACAGAGGGCUCUGAUAAAUCGCCGAUAGAUGGCGGCUGCUACGCCAAGAGUCACUACCUUCGUUGAAAUCGUCCUAUCAGCAGCUUCUUAUCCCGGUGUUGGCGCACUCGGGAAAAGUGAGGCUGUGCAAGCUCAGCAUCAUUUGUUCCCUUUUUUUAAAAAGCGCUCUUCGUGUUACGAUUACAGUGACAUGUCAAGUUUACGUGGGUCUCUAGCUCAACUUGAAUCGCGGCCGUAUUGGUGCACAGACGUUCUCUGAAUACGUAUGGUACAUACGUGCUAGAAUCUGAGGCGAGUGUGUUUGGAUGUUCACUAAAAUCGUCAACGGAAUGUGGGAACCAGAAAUAAACAUCGACACGGC